UACGGAGGGAGCUAGCGUUGUUCGGAAUUACUGGGCGUAAAGGGCGCGCAGGCGGCCCUCCAAGUCAGGCGUGAAAGCCCCGGGCUCAACCCGGGAAUAGCGCUUGAGACUGGGGGGCUUGAGUUCGGGAGAGGAGAGUGGAAUUCCCAGUGUAGAGGUGAAAUUCGUAGAUAUUCGGAAGAACACCAGUGGCGAAGGCGACUUACUGGACACAUAUUGACGCUGAGGUGCGAAAGCGUGGGGAGCAAACAGG
RNAcentral lists this ribosomal RNA (253 nucleotides) under uncultured bacterium. RNAcentral's name for it is "partial 16S ribosomal RNA". It matches the Rfam family "Bacterial small subunit ribosomal RNA", at positions 524 to 776 of the family's 1533-position model. The record is from RNAcentral.